GCCUUGGUGGCGAAAGCCAUAGUGGUAUGCUAAGCCGUCGGUCGGGGGUUCGAAUCCCUCCUGGGACGCCA
This 71-nucleotide transfer RNA is filed under the name Kroppenstedtia guangzhouensis. RNAcentral describes it as "tRNA-Ser". Lineage: Bacteria; Bacillati; Bacillota; Bacilli; Caryophanales; Thermoactinomycetaceae. The record is from RNAcentral.